CAGCAGCCACGGGAAUACGUAGGGUGCAAGCGUUAAUCGGAAUUACUGGGCGUAAAGCGCACGUAGGCGGCUUGGUAAGUUAGAGGUGAAAGCCUGGAGCUCAACUCCAGAAUUGCCUUUAAGACUGCCGAGCUAGCAGGUGAGAGAGGUAGGUGGAAUUCCGAGUGUAGAGGUGAAAUUCGUAGAUAUUCGGAAGAACACCAGUGGCGAAGGCGGCUUACUGGCUCAUACUGGACGCUGAGGUGCGAAAGCGUGGGGAGCAAACAGGAUUAGAUACCCCCGUAGUCCCUGUCUCUUAUAU
This 301-nucleotide ribosomal RNA is filed under the name uncultured bacterium. Its description in RNAcentral is "partial 16S ribosomal RNA". It matches the Rfam family "Bacterial small subunit ribosomal RNA", at positions 509 to 809 of the family's 1533-position model. The record is from RNAcentral.